CUGAUGGCUGUGGGUGACGGGGUUAGGCAUGUACAGGAUUGCGGGACAUGAGAAGCUUUUUCCUCCCUAAAAGGGGAAACCUGAGAGCUGAUGGGACUGCUGGAAAAAAUCCCUUCACGAUAGCAGCCACCUGAUCUUUUCAGUGUCACUACUAUGGCUUGGCCCCCAGGGCUGUGGUGCAGCCGUCUGGGUCACUAGGGCCACUCAGGGAAAGAAAACCCAGAAGCCUGGCAUGCUAGCAAAAGGGUAAGAAUUUAUUACCACUCAGACUUCCGGCCUCUUUCUCUCUUUUUUUUUCUCUGUUUCUCUCUCUCUCUCUUUCUCUUUCUCUCUCUCUCUGUGUGUGUGUGUGUGUGUGUGUGUGUGUGUGUGUGUGUGUGUGUGUGUGUGUGUAAACUGGAUGAGGUUUCCCUUUGGUCAGUCAUGUCCUUGGGAGCUUGACCUUGUAACCACGUGGCAGUACUUUCUCUUGGUCUCCACCAUCACAAUGGUGGCCUGGGUUCUGGGGCUAAUUCCCAGCCUAGGGGAUGAUCCUUUCUUUUCUGUCUGUCUAUGUAUUUAUAUGUAUUAUGUGUGUGUAAUAUAAAAGAGUUUUAAUUAAUUGGUUUAAAAAUGAGAGCUUAAAUCAAAUAUUUUCUCAAAAAAGCAAAAAGCAUAAUGCCUUUUAGUUCAUGUGACCUAAGUAAUCUUUGGGAAAUACAGACACUUGUAAAAAUUACUGGUAAAAUAAAAUAUCUUCAAAAAUGUAGACGUGUUCUAAGUUAUGCAAGUCAGAUAUUAGGUUUGCAUAAACUGCUUCUUUGACUUUUGAAAAUUGUUCAAUUUACCUACCUUGGAGACAUUAGAUUCUAGAUAAAGCCUGGGGACAUGUGGAAUUAGCCAUGCCCCAGCUAUGCAAAGAAGGUUAUGAAGAAAAGAUAUUUUAUAUAAGAAAAUAUGUUGUAUGAUAAAUUCUUGUCCUAAAGCAAAAUGACUGGUUGUUUAAAAAGAGGGAUUUUUUUUUAAUUAUUAUUAUACUUAAGUUCUGGGAUACAUGUGCAGAAUGUGCAGGUUUGUUACGUCGGUAUACAUGUGCCAUGGUGGUUUGCUGCAACCACCAACCCGUCAUCAACAUUAGGUAUUUCUCCUAAUGCUAUCCCUCCCCUUGCUCCCCACCCCCUGACAGGCCCCAGUGUGUGAUGUUCCCCUUCCUGUGCCCAUAUGUUCUAAAAAGAGGGAUGUUUAAGGCAAGUCUACACAUGUCUGUGACAUAAUUGGAGAAAUCGGUUAUUUCACCAAGGAUUUGAUUGGAAUGACAUGCUUUCCUUUUAGGAAUCAAACUUGACUUGUAAAGCCAAUAAAAGCCUUUUGAGGAACUGGCCUCAUACCUUGCCUACACAGUCUCUGUACAGGGUAUCUGACCUGAGGGCUAACCUUGCUUGUUCCUGUGAACCAACAAGUGAUCUCUAACUGCUGCUCAGAAGAAACAAGAGGGAUGGGUAAUGUAAAAAUCUGGAUCAGUAUUCUAAUCCUGGGCAUGUAUUGGAAUCAUCUAGAAGCCCCAUAUCAGCUUGGGUUCAACAGUUGCCCAGUUCAUGGAAAGUCUUCUAAUUUACUUUACUUGGGAUAAUUUUACUUAUUUUGCUUUACUCUUGUGGAACAUAUUGCUGUUGUACUCUUCAUGUAGGAAUGCAGAAUAAGCUUACUGAAUUACAUAUAUAUAUAUAUAUAUAUAUGCUUUAAGUUCUGGGGUACAUGUGCAGAACGUGCAGUUUUGUUACAUAGGUAUACACGUGCCAUGGUGGUUUGCUGCACCCAUCAACCCGUCAUCUACAUUAGGUAUUUCUCCUAAUGUUAUAUCUCCCCUAGCCCCCCACCACCUGACAGACCCCGGUGUAUGAUGUUCCCCUCCCUAUGUCCAUGUGUUCUCAUUGUUCAACUCCCACUUAUGAGUGAGAACAUGCAGUGUUUGGUUUUCUGUUCUUGUCAUAGUUUGCUGAGAAUGAUGGUUUCCAGCUUCAUCCAUGUCCCAGCAAAGGACAUAAACUCAUCCUUUUCAUGGCUGCAUAGUAUUCCAUGGUGUAUAUGUGCCACAUUGUCUUUAUCCAGUCUACUGUUGAUGGACUUUUGGCUUGGUUCCAAGUCUCUGCUAUUGUGAAUAGUACCACAAUAAACAUACGUGUGUAUGUGUCUUUAUAGUAGAAUGAUUUAUAACCCUUUGGGUAUAUACCCAGUAAUGGGAUUUUGGGGUCAAAUGGUAUUUCUAGUUCUAGAUCCUUGAGGAAUCACCACACUGUCUUCCACAAUGGUUGAACUAAUGUAUACUCCCAAUAGUGUAAAAGUGUCCCUAUUUCUCCACAUCCUCUCCAGCAUCUGUUGUUUCCUGACUUUUUAAUGAUCGCCAUUCUAACUGGCAUGAGAUGGUACCUCAUUGUGGUUUUGGUUUGCAUUUCUCUAAUGACCAGUGAUGAUGAGCUUUUUUUCAUAUGUCUGUUGGCUGCAUAAAUGUCUUCUUUUAAGAAGUGUCUGUUCAUAUCCUUCACCCACUUUUUGAUGGGGUUGUUUGUUUUUUUCUUGUAAAUUUGUUUAAGUUCAUUGUAGAUUCUGGAUAUUAACCCAUUGUCAGAUGGAUAGAUUGGAAAAAUUUUCUCCCAUUCUGUAGGUUGUCUGUUCACUCUGAUGAUAGUUUCUUUUGCUGUGCAGAAGCUCUUUAGUUUAAUUAGAUCCCAUUUGUCAAUUUUGGCUUUUGUCACCAUUGCUUUUAGUAUUUUAGACAUGAAGUCUUUGCCCAUGCCUAUGUCCUGAAUGGUAUUGCCCAGGUUUUCUUCUAGGAUUUUUAUGGUCCUAGGUCUUACAUUUAAGUCUUUGAUCCAUCUUGAGUUGAUUUUUGUAUAAGGUGUAAGGAAGGGGUCCAGUUUCCAUUUUCUGCAUAUGGCUAGCCAGUUUUCCCAACACCGUUUAUUAAGUAGGGAAUCUUUUCUCCAUUACUUGUGUCAAGUUUGUCAUUAUGACACUAGCUGGUUGUUUUGCCCAUUAGUUGAUGCAGUUUCUUCAUAAUGUCGAUGGUCUUUACAAUUUGGUAUGGUUUUUCAGUGGCUGGUACCGGUUGUUCCUUUCCAUGUUUAGUGUUUCCUUCAAGAACCCUUGUAAGGCAGGCCUGGUGAUGACAAAAAUCUCUCAGCAUUUGCUUGUCUGUAAAGGAUGUUAUUUCUCCUACACUUAUGAAGCUUAGUUUGGCUGGAUAUGAAAUUCUGAGUUGAAAAUUCUUUUCUUUAAGAAUGUUGAAUAUUGGCCUCCACUCUCUUCUGGCUUGUAGGGUUUCUGCAAAGAGAUCCGCUGUUAGUCUGAUGGGCUUCCCUUUUUGGGUAACCUGACCUUUCUCUCUGGCUUCCCUUAAUAUUUUUCCAUUCAUUUCAACCUUGGUGAAUCUGAUAAUUAUAUGUCUUGGGGUUGCUCUUUGUGGUGUUCUAUUUCCUGAAUUUGAAUGUUGGCCUGCCUUGCUAGGUUGGGGAAGUUCUCCUGGAUAAUCUCCUGAAGAGUGUUUUCCAUUUGGUUCCAUUCUCCUCAUCACUUUCAGGUACACCAAUUGAACACGGUUUGUUCAUUUCACGUAGUCCUAUAUUUCUUGGAGGCUUUGUUAAUUCCUUUUAAUUUUUUUCUCUCUAAUCUUUUCUUCUCUCUUUAUUUCAUUAAGUUGAUCUUAAAUCACUGUUAUCCUUUCUUCUGCUUGAUCAUUGCAGCUAUUGAAACUUGUGUAUGCUUCACGAAGUUCUCCUGCUGUGUUUUUCAGCUCCAUCAGGUCAUUUAUGUUCUUCUCUACACUGGUUAUUCUAGUUAGCAAUUCAUCUAACCUUUUUUCAAGGUUGUUAGCUUCCUUGCAUUGGGUUAGAACAUGCUCCUUUAGCUCGGAGGAGUUUGUUAUUACCCACCUUCUGAAGUCUACUUCCAUCAAUUUGUCAAACUCAUUCUCUGUCCAGUUUUGUUCCCUUGCUAGUGAGAAGUUGUGAUCCUUUGGAGGAUAAGAGGUGUUCUGGUUUUUGGAAUUUUCAUCCUUUUUGCGCUGGUUUCUCCCCAACUUUGUGGAUGUAUCUACCUUUCUUCUUUGAUGUUGGUGGCCUUCAGAUGGGGUCUUUGAGUGGACGUGCUAUUCCUUUCUGUUUAUUAAUUUUCCUUCUGACAGUCAGGCUCCUCUGCUGCCAGUCUGCUGGAAUUUGCUGGGGGUCCACUCCCGACCCUGUUUGCCUAGGUAUCACCAGCGAAUGCUCAACUGGAAAUGCAGAAAUCACCCACCUUCUGUGCCAAUCUCGCUGGGAGCUGCAGACCGAAGCUGUUCCUAUUCAGCCAUCUUGCUAGCAAAUGCCUGAAUGUUUUCUUAAACUGAACACCUAUUGAUCUUCCAGAUAUCACCAAGAAUCAUGAAUGGCCCUCACCAUACUGAUGCGUUCUGACUGAGCUUCUCUCUACCCUGAACACAAGAGACCCUAAUAGGCAGGAAUGUCAUCACCCCUAUUCAGCCUGAAGAAGUUAUAGAAGAUGGAUCUUUUUCCCUCUGCAACCUUUAGGAUUAUGGGUUCUUUUAUAAAAAGAGAGGGGGGAAAUGUCAGAGGAGCGUGAACCAGAGCAACUCCAUCUUGAAUGGGAACUGGGUAAAAUGAGGCUGAGACCUAAUGGGCUGCAUUCCCAGAUGGUUAAGGCAUUCUAAGUCACAGGAUGAAAUAGGAGUCGGUGCAAGAUACAGGUCAUGAAGACCUUGCUGAUAAAAUAGGUUGCAGUAAAGAAGGUGGCCAAAACCCACCAAAACCAAGAUGACCACAAGAGUAUCCUCUGGUCAUCUUCUCUGCUACACUCUCACCAGAGCCAUGACAGUUGACAAAUGCCAUGGCAAUGUCAGGAAGUUUCCCUAUAUGGUCUAAAAAGGAGAGGCAUGAAUAAUCCACCCCUUGUUUAGCAUAUUAUCAAGAAAUAACCAUAAAAAUGGGCAACCAGCAGCCCUCGGGGCUUCUCUGUUUAUGGAGUAGCCAUUCUCGUAUCCUUCUACUUUCUUAAACUUUCUUUCACUUACAAAAAAAUAGUGGAACUCAGAAGUAGAGAAUAAAAUGGUGGUUACCAAGUUCUGGAGAGGUGGGGGAUUAGAAGAUGUUGUUCAAAGAAUACAAAAUUUCAGUUAGGCAGGAAGAAUGAGUUCCAAAGAUCUAUUGUACAAUACAGUGAUACAUACUUAAUGACAAUGUACUGUAUAUGUGAAAAUUGCUAAGAGCACAUUUUCGGUAUUCUCACCACAAAGAAAUGAUGUGAGGUAAUGCAUAUGUUAAACAGCUUGAUUUAGCCAUUCCACACAUAUACAUAUUUCAGAACAUCGUGUUGUAUCCCGUUAAAUAUGUACAAUUUUGUUUGUCAAAAAGUGAAAAGAGAAAAGAAGGUAAACUCUGUUAUUGCAUGCAGUGGUCCACAAAUAUCAUUUAUGUCAAACUGUUAAACAUUCUUGUUCAAAUUACCUAUAUCCUUAAAAAUUUGUUAACUAAACUGUUUUAUCAGUUACUGAAUUAUGUUUAAAUCAUUACUUAUGACUGCAAUUUUAUUCAUUUAUCCUUUUAUUUCUGUCAAAUUUUGUUUUACAUAUUUCAACUAUUGAUAGGGUUGAAUACAAAUUUAUAAAUAUGCCUUACAACUGAAUUGAUCCCUUUAUCAUUAAAAAUAUUCAUCUUUAUAUAAGGUAAUAUCUCUUGAUUCAAAGUAUAU
Molecule: long non-coding RNA, 5718 nt
Filed under: Homo sapiens (human)
Lineage: Eukaryota; Metazoa; Chordata; Mammalia; Primates; Hominidae
Description: HSALNT0282881
Source: RNAcentral